ACGAAGAUCACUAAGGACUUUUCGGUUGAAGCUUGGUUAGGUUAACAAACAAGGGUCAUUUCUAAGGCCAUUGAAAACGAAAUUGCCGAUGCAAAAGAGGCAUUCACUGUACAUUAUUCACAAAUCUCAACUUCGUUCCAUUUAUUUCUCAUUUGAAACCUUCACAACUCUUAUUUCACAACUCAAUUUUUGUUUUUCCCUAUUUUUCUUCCAAGCAAGCAUUCAUUUUUAUUUU
Molecule: long non-coding RNA, 235 nt
Filed under: Lathyrus oleraceus (garden pea)
Lineage: Eukaryota; Viridiplantae; Streptophyta; Magnoliopsida; Fabales; Fabaceae
Description: Pisum sativum (pea) long non-coding RNA (PSAT_LNC008282)
Source: RNAcentral